Molecule: non-coding RNA, 3958 nt
Organism: Sus scrofa (pig)
Lineage: Eukaryota; Metazoa; Chordata; Mammalia; Artiodactyla; Suidae
Source: RefSeq, a predicted model, not a curated record
GCCCCGCCCCCUUCCUUAACUCUUGCCAGCUGUCAUCAGCUUCCCCUGCCAUAGUUACUUUCCAUGGACCCAGGAGUCCGGACACCCAGACCCUCAGCUCCCUCGCCGAGAAUGGAGGCAGAAAACCAAGGCCUCAGCCCCCUGUCAAAGCCCCCGGACCUGACUCCCGAGGAGCGGAUGGAGCUGGAGAACAUCCGGCGGCGGAAGCAGGAGCUGCUGGUGGAGAUCCAGCGCCUGCGGGAGGAGCUCAGCGAAGCCAUGAGCGAAGUCGAGGGGCUGGAGGCCAAUGAGGGCAGCAAGACCUUGCAGCGGAACCGGAAGAUGGCAAUGGGCAGGAAGAAGUUCAACAUGGACCCCAAAAAGGGGAUCCAGUUCCUGGUGGAGGAUGAACUUCUACAGAACACCCCCGAGGAGAUCGCCCGCUUCCUGUACAAGGGCGAAGGCCUGAACAAGACGGCCAUCGGGGACUACCUGGGGGAGAGGGAAGAGUUGAACCUGGCAGUGCUCCAUGCCUUUGUGGAUCUGCACGAGUUCACCGACCUCAAUCUGGUGCAGGCCCUCAGGCAAUUUCUCUGGAGCUUCCGCCUCCCUGGAGAGGCCCAGAAGAUCGACCGCAUGAUGGAAGCCUUUGCCCAGCGCUACUGCCUGUGCAACCCCGGGGUUUUCCAGUCCACAGACACGUGCUACGUGCUGUCCUUCGCUGUGAUCAUGCUGAACACCAGCCUCCACAACCCCAACGUCCGGGACAAGCCGGGCCUGGAGCGCUUCGUGGCCAUGAACCGGGGCAUCAACGAGGGCGGGGACCUGCCCGAGGAGCUGCUCAGGAACCUCUACGACAGCAUCCGAAAUGAGCCGUUCAAGAUUCCCGAGGACGACGGCAACGACCUGACUCACACCUUCUUCAACCCGGACCGGGAGGGCUGGCUCCUCAAGCUGGGUACGUCCCCUCCUGACUCUGCCUCUGCAGGGCGGGAGGCUGCUGGGCCCCGGGCUCUGGACUCAGCUUUCGCACCUGCCCACUGUGUGACCUUAGGCCAGUGAUUUGACCUCUCUGAACCUCCAGUCUCCACACCCAAAAAGACGAUCAGGCCUGCCGGGCACACGUUCAGGGCCCACUAACCCCUUCUGGCUGCCCGCCUAUCCUUCAGGAAGCCCUCCCCUAGGCCAGGCCCUGUUCCAGCCCUGAGGGCACAGUCGAGAUGCCAGCAGCAUGGUCCCCCUCUGGAGGAGGGUUCGCUCACGAUGCUCUCAGGGAGCAGAAAACAACCCAAGGGGCCAAGGCACCCAGGCGCCUCUUGGCUCACUUGGCGGGGAAUCAGGUUCCAGGCUAGACCCACUGGGAGACCAUCGAGUCUGCCCUCACCGUCUGCUGCCUCCUCAUCAGCCCAGCAGCAAGGUGGCUGCUCCAGAGGUAGUGUACCUGCCCAGAACACGGCCCAGGAGUUGUCACCUUAGCUCAGCAGAAACAAAUCUGACUGGUAUCCAUGAGGUUGCGUGUUUGAUCCCUGACCUUGCUCAGUGGGUUAAGGAUCCAGUGUUGCCAUGAGCUGUGUGUGUAGGUCACAGACGAGGCUCAGAUCUGGUGUUGCCGUGGCUGUGGUGUAGGCUGGCAGCUACACCUCCGAUUAGAUCCCUAGCUUGGGAACCUCCAUAUGCUGCAGGUUCGGCCUUAAGAAAAAAAAAAAAAAAAAAAAAGGCAGAACAUUACCCACAGGAGGCAGAAAAGAGCCUGCAGAGGGAGGAAACCUGGGCAGCCUGCCCCCUGGACCUCUCAGCUGGCUGGAUUGGUUCCUGGUGGGAAGGGGACUGCCCUGGCUGGCUCAGAUGAACCCAGAACACCAGAAUGGGGCAGAUGGGGCGGGGGUCCAUCCACCUUUAGAGAACGGGGCAUCAGCAAGUUCAAGGUCACUUAGCAGAGGUCCUGUAGGUGCAGUUGUCUGAGGAUUGGAGUGACUCUUAACCCUCGGCUGCCUGGAGAUUCCCCCUGGGAGCUCUGAAAACCGCAGUAACCAGGUCACAGACCCGUGAAGUCAGGCUUCUGUGCAGGACAGGCCAUCCGUCAUGUCCAAAGCUCCCCAGGGGUUCCAGUGCUGGCCAAGGUUGAGAGCUGCUGGCUCGGAGCUGUGUCUGGUAAUAGUUGGUCCCGCUGGGUUUUUAAUAGGGAAGCGGAGAACAGCUGUUUCAGGGAGGCAGAGACUCUGGUGAGGAAUUACCAUCCAGUGCAGGCAGUGGAGACUGUGAGCCUGGACAGUGAGGGGGUGGAGCGGGGGGGGGGAGCAGAGGAAGCUUCCAGCCCCAAGCAGGGGAUCAAAGCAGGGCUUUGCUCCCUUCAGGUCUCACCACCCACCCCUUUCAGCACCCUCUUCCCCCCAGCUGUGCUCUCAGAUUGAGGAAUCCCUUCUCUGGCAACGGGGGCAUAAAGAAUGCCAGUCACUCUUCCCAGGCCCCAUGCUGGCUGAUGAUCUAUCUGCAUCAGCUCCAGAGAGGCUCACGGGUCCGAGGGGUCUGGGGCCAGUUUCGAUUCUUCAAGGAAGGCCAAGUGGCGCCCCUGGUGGCGAGGGGGUGGAAAGAAAAGCAGGAGGGGCUGGUUCCCCUCCAGACCGCUCCUGUCAGCAGGAAUCCUUCCCAUUUCUUAGAUGAGGAAAUCGCAGCUCGGCCACUGUCCAGCGGCCCGCAGGGCAGAGGUGGCCUUAGAUCCAGAUCUCUGGCCAGGUCAUCACAAGGUCAUUAAAAAAAAAAAAAGCACCUCUUAAAACACUGAAAUAGGAAAGGGACUCGGUGGUGGUGGUCAUACCCACAAAGACGGUUAGUCAAAGUCGUUAUUGCUGCUGUUUAAUCCUUUGGGGACCACACGGAGCCCAGAAGCAGGUCACUUUGAAGCAGGAAGGUAUGGCCUGGAGUGUGUCUCCACAUUGGAGUCCAGAGAGGGCAAGUAGCUGUCCUAAGGUCACACAGCUGGUUUGUACUCCCCUGAAUGUGAGUCCCCCACACCCACCCUGACCCAAGGACUGGGGAGUUUUGUCUUCAGCUUUGUGGGGAUGACCUCCGGGUCGAGACCUCUUCACCUUGGCAGUGGAGGACCCCCCCCUUGGCCUCGGAUGCAUCCUGGGGAUUAAGCCGAUUGGCCUCAGUGCGGCUCCGGAUCCUUGGCCUUCCUGGGAGGGAGGGGUCCGGCAGGGGUCCCCCCUCAUGUGGAUGUAACUGGUUUUCUUCCCUCUCUCUCCCUCCCUCCCUGCCUCCCUCCCUGCCUGUCUCUCUGCUGUUCCUGUCUCUCUCUGGGCCACCCCCUGCGCACCCCUUCCCUCGCCCACCCUGCGGCUCGCGGGGCACCCCCUUCCUCCGCCUUCCCUUCUCGCCUGGUCCUGCCUGCUUUCUCGCUGUCUGCCCCAGGAGGGGGCCGGGUGAAGACGUGGAAGCGCCGCUGGUUUAUCCUCACUGACAACUGCCUCUACUACUUUGAAUACACUACGGACAAAGAGCCCCGAGGCAUCAUCCCGCUGGAGAAUCUGAGCAUCCGCGAAGUGGACGACCCCCGGAAACCAAACUGCUUCGAGCUGUACAUCCCCAACAACAAGGGGCAGCUAAUCAAAGCCUGCAAGACGGAGGCAGAUGGCCGGGUGGUCGAGGGCAACCACAUGGUGUACCGGAUCUCUGCCCCCACGCAGGAGGAGAAGGACGAGUGGAUCAAGUCCAUCCAGGCCGCCGUGAGCGUGGACCCCUUCUAUGAGAUGUUGGCAGCAAGGAAGAAGCGGAUUUCUGUCAAGAAGAAGCAGGAGCAGCCCUGACCCCCUGCCCCCAACUCCAUUAUUUAUUACGGAGCUGCCCCGCCCGGGUGGCCGGACCCCUGGGCCCCGGGGCUGCGGAUCCUGGUUCCCCGUUUGGAAGAUCCAUCAUCUCUAGCUCCUCUCUCGUUAUUUGUAAUUAACACGCCAUUGGUAAUAUUAAUUAUUUAACCACU